GUGAAUCAUCGAAUCUUUGAACGCAAAUUGCACUCUCUUCGGAGAGUAUGCGUGUUUGAGGGUCAGCCUAAAAAAAAUUGACAUAGUCGCUGUUUCGUGGUGUUCUUCGUGGGGAAUUGGGUCAUCUUAAACUUUUGGGCUUUAAGCGGACUAAAAUUUUCUCUUGGUUUCAUGAAAGUUUCUAAGAUCUAUUUCUUUACAUGUUUAGGGUAUCGUUCUUUAUUAGAUGUGACUCUUAUAU
This 241-nucleotide unclassified non-coding RNA is filed under the name Glomus sp. Its description in RNAcentral is "partial contains 5.8S ribosomal RNA and internal transcribed spacer 2". The stretch from base 1 to 65 matches the Rfam family "5.8S ribosomal RNA", at positions 84 to 154 of the family's 154-position model. Lineage: Eukaryota; Fungi; Glomeromycota; Glomeromycetes; Glomerales; Glomeraceae. The record is from RNAcentral.